GACGAACGCUGGCGGCGUGCCUAAUACAUGCAAGUCGAGCGGACAGAUGGGAGCUUGCUCCCUGAUGUUAGCGGCGGACGGGUGAGUAACACGUGGGUAACCUGCCUGUAAGACUGGGAUAACUCCGGGAAACCGGGGCUAAUACCGGAUGGUUGUCUGAACCGCAUGGUUCAAACAUAAAAGGUGGCUUCGGCUACCACUUACAGAUGGACCCGCGGCGCAUUAGCUAGUUGGUGAGGUAACGGCUCACCAAGGCAACGAUGCGUAGCCGACCUGAGAGGGUGAUCGGCCACACUGGGACUGAGACACGGCCCAGACUCCUACGGGAGGCAGCAGUAGGGAAUCUUCCGCAAUGGACGAAAGUCUGACGGAGCAACGCCGCGUGAGUGAUGAAGGUUUUCGGAUCGUAAAGCUCUGUUGUUAGGGAAGAACAAGUACCGUUCGAAUAGGGCGGUACCUUGACGGUACCUAACCAGAAAGCCACGGCUAACUACGUGCCAGCAGCCGCGGUAAUACGUAGGUGGCAAGCGUUGUCCGGAAUUAUUGGGCGUAAAGGGCUCGCAGGCGGUUUCUUAAGUCUGAUGUGAAAGCCCCCGGCUCAACCGGGGAGGGUCAUUGGAAACUGGGGAACUUGAGUGCAGAAGAGGAGAGUGGAAUUCCACGUGUAGCGGUGAAAUGCGUAGAGAUGUGGAGGAACACCAGUGGCGAAGGCGACUCUCUGGUCUGUAACUGACGCUGAGGAGCGAAAGCGUGGGGAGCGAACAG
RNAcentral lists this ribosomal RNA (765 nucleotides) under Bacillus subtilis. Its description in RNAcentral is "bacterial SSU rRNA". It matches the Rfam family "Bacterial small subunit ribosomal RNA", at positions 28 to 775 of the family's 1533-position model. Lineage: Bacteria; Bacillati; Bacillota; Bacilli; Caryophanales; Bacillaceae. The record is from RNAcentral.